Molecule: long non-coding RNA, 750 nt
Filed under: Gossypium barbadense (sea-island cotton)
Lineage: Eukaryota; Viridiplantae; Streptophyta; Magnoliopsida; Malvales; Malvaceae
Description: long non-coding RNA (GBAR_LNC010418)
Source: RNAcentral
CACACAAAAAAAAAUGGAACUCUAAACCUCUCAUCCUCUCAAAACUCCUCUCCCCCACAUCCGGCCUAUAGGGCCACUGGCUGACGACUGCGGUGACCGCCGUAUACAGCGGUGGAGCGCGACCCUCAGGUGCAUCCUUUUUUUUAUAUGCCUCUUUUUGCUUAAAUAGAUUUUAAAAAAAAGAAAAGAAAUGAAUAAACAUAAAAAAAAAAGAUAAAUAGAACGAAAGAAAAAAAAAAGAAAAAAGAACGUAGCAAAACCUUUUGAAACUUCAGUUUUUAUUUCUAUUCUGAUUUGCUAAUGUGCGUAACCAUUACAAAAGGAUUUCUUUCGGUUUUUAUAGCCGAGUUACAAACUAUUUACUUUUCUAUUUUUGUCCUUUUCUAUUUGUUUCUACUUCUUGUCGUUUCUUUUUUUUGUUUUUACUGCUUGCGUGUGAUUCUUUCUUUGCAGGUGACAGAAGCAUGCGAUGGCAAGUGACAAACGAGCCGAGCGGUAGUGGCAGAGGCGAGGGUGGCGCGCGUUGGGUGAGCGGCGGCUAAAGAGGGUAGGCUGAGGGCUAAGGUUUCUUUGUUUUGUUAAUGUGUUGGGUUAAUUUUGUGGGCUAGGGUUAAUUUGGGUUUAGGUUAUGUGGGCCUUGACAAUUUGGACUGGUGUGAGUUUUAAUUUGUAAAUGAACUUUAAAAACAUUUGGAUUUUUGGUUUUUAUUUUAUAAUUUGGCCAGGCCAAAAUUAACCCAUUACAAAGAU